Molecule: long non-coding RNA, 487 nt
Filed under: Homo sapiens (human)
Lineage: Eukaryota; Metazoa; Chordata; Mammalia; Primates; Hominidae
Description: HSALNT0349437
Source: RNAcentral
CCCUGCCCAGGGUCCAGCCUUGUCUUAGUAAACAUUCAUCUCCCUGACUCAGGCUGCUGCUUAGAAAUUCUGUUUCGGUUGCAGUUCCAUUGUGUGGAGCCAGUACUACAACUUUUCCUCCUGCAUUCAUUUCUCUUCCUGCUGCCUUGUGAAGAAGGUGCCUUGCUUCCCCUUCACCUUCUACGGUGAUUGCAAGUUGCCUGAGGAUUCCCCAGCCAUGUGAAACUGGACAUGGAUGAAGCUGGAGACCAUCAUUCUCAGCAAACUAACACAAGAACAGAAAACCAAACACCACAUGUUCUCACUGGUGAGGACACAAUAGGAUGACCAUCAGCAAACCAGGAAUAAUGCCCUCAACAGACAUCUGAUCUGCUGACACCUUGAUCUUGGACUUCUAAUUCUGCAGAACUUUAUCAAGGACUCCGUUCUCCCUCUCCAAGCUGACAAGAAAACUACACCAGAUUUGACCACCACUUCCUCUACACUC